AGCUCCUGCACACACAACACACGCACACACAGCCACACAGACAAUGAAGCUCAAGAGCUCAAGGCCUCUUUUGACUCUUUCACAGUGCGUGUGUGCGUCACAGCUCUUGGGAUUCAUGACAUUCAUAUUUCCGCCUAGGAGCCAAGGGCCAGAUUAAUGCAGGUGUAACGGCCGUUGUUGGUGGUGGAAGAAGAAGAGGACCAAUGCGCAGCGUGGUGGACCUGAGCCCUAGGACCAUGCCUCAGGACUACCUGACAUGAUGACUCCUUGCUGUCCCCAGUCCACCUGGCCGUGCUGCUGCUCCAGUUUCAACUGUUCUGCCUGAUUAUUAUUCGACCCCGCUGGUCAUUUAUGAACAUUUGAACAUCUUGGCCAUGUUCUGUUAUAAUCUCCACCCGGCACAGCCAGAAGAGGACUGGCCACCUAUUGAAGGAAUUUUAUUCCUCUGUUUUAAUUCCCAAUUAAAAUUAAACACUCUGUCAAUUCAUAAGAAUUUGUAAGACUCUUAUUUUAUAGGAAUGGACAGAGCCCGGUCUUAAAGUCAAAUAGCAGCAGAGUACUCCCGCAAUACAGGUUACCACAGGUUAUAAACUGAAAAUGACGUCAUUAGUUCCAACACCACCCCGCUCCAUCACCGUUCCAGUAGAAAGGCUGUAUCUCGAGCCUUCCCACAUCCAUCUCCCUACCAAUUUAAUAUAAUUUACGAGUCAAGGUUUUCUCGUGUAGAUAAGCAUUCUAGCCAGUCUGAUUCAUUUGUACCAAGGAACAGACAGUCAUUGUUCUAACUCUUGACCACAUUCACACACAUUAUAUUCAGUACCGGGAUCAAGAAAGAAAAUUCAUACAUAUACAGUAACAUUUAGUAUUCUGAUUAGUACAUAUACAGUAACAUAAUAGUAUUCUGGUUAGUACAUCCUGAUUGAAAUGUAUACAUAAUUAGUCAUUAUAGAUAAAAAUUCCCUAAACACCACCCCACAUAGCCUGGUUCCUUUCUAGGUUUCUUCCUCGGUUUUGGCCUUUCUCGGGAGUUUUUCCUAGCCACCGUGCUUCUACACCUGCAUUGCUUGCUGUUUGGGGUUUUAGGGUGGGUUUCUGUACAGCACUUUGAGAUAUCAGCUGAUGUACGAAGGGCUAUAUAAAUACAUUUGAUUUGAUUCUUUAUUUGUAUUUCUAUGUCUUUGUGGGAAGUUGACUUUGUUUAUGGCACUUAGCGUCACGGUUUGUUUUGUAGUGUUUAUUGUUUUGUUUGGCGUCUUUUCUAAAUAAAAGAAUAUG
This is a long non-coding RNA of Oncorhynchus masou masou (cherry salmon), 1275 nucleotides long. RefSeq lists it as uncharacterized. The record is from RefSeq and is a predicted model, not a curated record. NCBI's taxonomy places the organism in Eukaryota, Metazoa, Chordata, Actinopteri, Salmoniformes, Salmonidae. The transcript is spliced from 3 exons.